GACGAACGCUGGCGGCGUGCCUAAUACAUGCAAGUUGAGCGCUGAAGGUUGGUACUUGUACCAACUGGAUGAGCAGCGAACGGGUGAGUAACGCGUGGGGAAUCUGCCUUUGAGCGGGGGACAACAUUUGGAAACGAAUGCUAAUACCGCAUAAAAACUUUAAACACAAGUUUUAAGUUUGAAAGAUGCAAUUGCAUCACUCAAAGAUGAUCCCGCGUUGUAUUAGCUAGUUGGUGAGGUAAAGGCUCACCAAGGCGAUGAUACAUAGCCGACCUGAGAGGGUGAUCGGCCACAUUGGGACUGAGACACGGCCCAAACUCCUACGGGAGGCAGCAGUAGGGAAUCUUCGGCAAUGGACGAAAGUCUGACCGAGCAACGCCCGCGUGAGUGAAAGAAAGGUUUUCGGA
RNAcentral lists this ribosomal RNA (407 nucleotides) under Lactococcus lactis. RNAcentral's name for it is "bacterial SSU rRNA". It matches the Rfam family "Bacterial small subunit ribosomal RNA", at positions 28 to 422 of the family's 1533-position model. Lineage: Bacteria; Bacillati; Bacillota; Bacilli; Lactobacillales; Streptococcaceae. The record is from RNAcentral.